This 471-nucleotide ribosomal RNA is filed under the name uncultured Streptomyces sp. RNAcentral's name for it is "bacterial SSU rRNA". It matches the Rfam family "Bacterial small subunit ribosomal RNA", at positions 151 to 636 of the family's 1533-position model. The record is from RNAcentral. Lineage: Bacteria; Bacillati; Actinomycetota; Actinomycetes; Kitasatosporales; Streptomycetaceae.
UGGAAACGGGGUCUAAUACCGGAUAACACUCUGUCCCGCAUGGGACGGGGUUAAAAGCUCCGGCGGUGAAGGAUGAGCCCGCGGCCUAUCAGCUUGUUGGUGGGGUAAUGGCCUACCAAGGCGACGACGGGUAGCCGGCCUGAGAGGGCGACCGGCCACACUGGGACUGAGACACGGCCCAGACUCCUACGGGAGGCAGCAGUGGGGAAUAUUGCACAAUGGGCGAAAGCCUGAUGCAGCGACGCCGCGUGAGGGAUGACGGCCUUCGGGUUGUAAACCUCUUUCAGCAGGGAAGAAGCGGAAGUGACGGUACCUGCAGAAGAAGCACCGGCUAACUACGUGCCAGCAGCCGCGGUAAUACGUAGGGUGCGAGCGUUGUCCGGAAUUAUUGGGCGUAAAGAGCUCGUAGGCGGCUUGUCACGUCGGAUGUGAAAGCCCGGGGCUUAACCCCGGGUCUGCAUUCGAUACGGG